This 322-nucleotide long non-coding RNA is filed under the name Lathyrus oleraceus (garden pea). RNAcentral's name for it is "Pisum sativum (pea) long non-coding RNA (PSAT_LNC002066)". Lineage: Eukaryota; Viridiplantae; Streptophyta; Magnoliopsida; Fabales; Fabaceae. The record is from RNAcentral.
CAAUAUAAAAGGAUGGCAAUCCUUCUUUCAGAACUCGGGGGUUUUUAGCGUGAAGCAUUCAUUGUUCUAGUACUCUUCACUGUUGUAUUUUAUGUGUGUCUUGUAUUAGGUGUAUUUUGUGAGCCAAGCAAUUAUCACCUAGAUGAUUGCAUUGGAAUAGGGUGUUCAUUGAGUUGUAAGUGUUGUGUCACUCUAAGCUUUUAGGCGUGAGUGUUGUGUAUCUUGAUUAAAGCUGUUAAGCACAAUCAAGAGUUGUUUGAAGUAUUACUUCACCAUUAUCUUUAAACUUAAUUAAAGGUUGUAAUCACUGAGGUGAUUGAGG